RNAcentral lists this ribosomal RNA (371 nucleotides) under uncultured organism. Its description in RNAcentral is "bacterial SSU rRNA". It matches the Rfam family "Bacterial small subunit ribosomal RNA", at positions 526 to 896 of the family's 1533-position model. The record is from RNAcentral.
CGUAGGUGGCAAGCGUUGUCCGGAAUUAUUGGGCGUAAAGCGCGCGCAGGCGGUUCCUUAAGUCUGAUGUGAAAGCCCCCGGCUCAACCGGGGAAGGUCAUUGGAAACUGGGGAACUUGAGUGCAGAAGAGAAGAGCGGAAUUCCACGUGUAGCGGUGAAAUGCGUAGAGAUGUGGAGGAACACCAGUGGCGAAGGCGGCUCUUUGGUCUGUAACUGACGCUGAGGCGCGAAAGCGUGGGGAGCAAACAGGAUUAGAUACCCUGGUAGUCCACGCCGUAAACGAUGAGUGCUAAGUGUUAGAGGGUUUCCGCCUUUAGUGCUGCAGCUAACGCAUUAAGCACUCCGCCUGGGGAGUACGGCCGCAAGGCUG